RNAcentral lists this non-coding RNA (60 nucleotides) under unclassified sequences. Its description in RNAcentral is "GP20-b RNA". It matches the Rfam family "GP20-b RNA". The record is from RNAcentral.
UGCCGGAAGAUAAGGCGUAAAACAGUCAAAACAAGGGAAGCAACCCCGUACAAAAGCGUA